ACGGCUCAGUAACACGUAGUCAAUCUACCCUAUGGACGGGAAUAACCUCGGGAAACUGAGAAUAAUGCCCGAUAGAACAUUAUGCCUGGAAUGGUUUAUGUUUCAAAUGAUUUAUCGCCAUAGGAUGGGACUGCGGCCUAUCAGUUUGUUGGUGAGGUAAUGGCCCACCAAGACUAUUACAGGUACGGGCUCUGAGAGGAGUGGCCCGGAGAUGGGUACUGAGACACGGACCCAGGCCCUAUGGGGCGCAGCAGGCGAGAAAACUUUGCAAUGUGCGAAAGCACGACAAGGUUAAUCCGAGUGAUUUCUGCUAAAGAAAUCUUUUGCUAGUCCUAGAAACACUAGUGAAUAAGGGGUGGGCAAGUUCUGGUGUCAGCCGCCGCGGUAAAACCAGCACCUCAAGUGGUCAGGAUGAUUAUUGGGCCUAAAGCAUCCGUAGCUCGUUUUGUAAGUUUUCGGUUAAAUCCAUACGCUUAACGUAUGGGCUGCCGGGAAUACUGCAUAACUAGGAAGUGGGAGAGGUAGACGGUACUCGGUAGGAAGGGGUAAAAUCCUUUGAUCUAUUGAUGACCACCUGUGGCGAAGGCGGUCUACCAGAACACGUUCGACGGUGAGGGAUGAAAGCUGGGGGAGCAAACCGGAUUAGAUACCCGGGUAGUCCCAGCUGUAAACUAUGCAAACUCAGUGAUGCAUUGGCUUGUGGCCAAUGCAGUGCUGCAGGGAAGCCGUUAAGUUUGCCGCCUGGGAAGUACGUACGCAAGUAUGAAACUUAAAGGAAUUGGCGGGGGAGCACA
This 794-nucleotide ribosomal RNA is filed under the name uncultured Nitrososphaerota archaeon. Its description in RNAcentral is "bacterial SSU rRNA". It matches the Rfam family "Archaeal small subunit ribosomal RNA", at positions 85 to 880 of the family's 1478-position model. The record is from RNAcentral. Lineage: Archaea; Thermoproteati; Nitrososphaerota.